AUUAUAAUAAAUGAAUCCACUUGCAUUGUAUGUGUUGACAUUUCUAGCUGUGCUAGUUGUCACGGUCUUAGCGGUUUUGUUCGUAAAAUCCGUACGACGCCUGUCUUUCUACUCAAAGAUGGACAAGCCUAAUUUCUUGUUGCUAGUCUGGACCUACGCGCCCUACAACUAAGUAUGCAAAAAGGAGAGAGAGAGAAAGGCAGAUGUUCUAAAAAAGCUAAGUACUCCACUACUUUAAAAAAUAGGACUACAAUACACAACUCCUCUUAUGUUUGCACCUCUUUUCUUUGCUUCUCUACUUUGGCCUUAACCAACCCCACAAUUUAUUGGCUCCUAAAAACAUUGAAUCUAGUCUACACUAAUUCACCACUAAACACACAUUAAAGCACGCAUUAACUCACGCACUAUCAUAUAGUAAUGAGCCAUCAUUAAUGCCUAAUAAUUAUAAGAUGAUUCCAAGAGUUGCCUAUGUUCCUUGGGUUUCCGCUGGCAGUUAUGGAGGCAUUAAUAGCAGCAGUUACAUGCCCUUCAUCUCUCAUAAAAGACGGGUGGUUUUGAUGCCCCUUUAGCUGCCAACUUAGCCAAGUUGGGCUAAAGACUUAAAUUGUUCAGCAAUUUCGCUAAGUCCCUGAUAUAGUGCUCUAAUAUGUAGUACUAUUGUAAGUAUAAUAAUAAUUAGUAUAUAAAAAAUAGGGAUAAUUGCCUAUAUACCCUUCAUACGUUUGGAAAUAUCCGAUUUAUCCCUACUUUUUUUUUUCUUUCUAAAAUACCGCUCAUAUGUUUCAUCAUUAUUGCAAAAUACCCUUACAGUUAUCUCCUGUUAAGUUAACCUGGGUUAAACGUAAGUUAAAUAUAUACCACAGUUAAAAAAAAAUAAAAUACUAAUUUUGUCCUUAACUUAAGGGCAAAUAAGAAAUGUUGGUGGCGGUAGAGGGGUAUAUUGGAAAAGACCAAAAGUCAAAAUACUUUUUGUGUUCCUGACAUUAAGGGCAAAUAAAAAAGACAGUGAUGAUGGAAGGGUAUACUUGAAAGGGCAAAAUAGUAAUUUUACAGAAUUAACAAAGUUACUUAACAGAUUUUAACUCUAGAGAUAUAUUAGAAAUAGGUUGAAACGUAGGAGAGAUAUUUUUAAUAUUAGCUUUCUAAGAAAGAUAAAUUAAAAAAUCAAUAAUUUUUCAGAAGUGUAUAAGCAAUUGCUCCUAAAAAAUAACUUACAUUGAAAUAAAUGAAUCCGU
Molecule: long non-coding RNA, 1235 nt
Filed under: Ananas comosus (pineapple)
Lineage: Eukaryota; Viridiplantae; Streptophyta; Magnoliopsida; Poales; Bromeliaceae
Description: long non-coding RNA (ACOM_LNC017985)
Source: RNAcentral